AACAAGAGCAUAACUCCGUCUCAAAAAAAAAAGCAAGCAAGCAAACAAACAGAAAACAAACAAAAACUCACCUCAAAUAUCACUUUAAACAAUGGAAUAUCUUCUAUUUGUCUGCCCGCCCUGCACUCUAAAAAGGUUAAUUUUGCUUUCCUGUGGCUUUCAAAAUAUCUAAAAUACUAUAUUUACUAUAUGACUUUUUUACUUCUGUAUAUUUCAAACUUUGGGCCAUCAUUUAGUUAUAGAUUAUGAAAUCAGUUUAAUAAAUCAUACCCAGUAUUUCUUUUUACGUAGAAGUGCAUAAAUGGAACAUAUCAAGUCUGUCAUAUGUAUGAAUGAU
Molecule: long non-coding RNA, 337 nt
Filed under: Pan troglodytes (chimpanzee)
Lineage: Eukaryota; Metazoa; Chordata; Mammalia; Primates; Hominidae
Description: long non-coding RNA NONPTRT010119
Source: RNAcentral